Molecule: ribosomal RNA, 1261 nt
Filed under: Muccanella cundalinensis
Lineage: Eukaryota; Metazoa; Arthropoda; Malacostraca; Bathynellacea; Bathynellidae
Description: SSU rRNA
Rfam family: Eukaryotic small subunit ribosomal RNA
Source: RNAcentral
UGCAUGUCUCAGUACAGGCCGAACUAAGGCGAAACCGCGAAUGGCUCAUUAAAUCAGUUGUGGUUCAUUGGACCUCCCACUGUCCUACUUGGAUAACUGUGGUAAUUCUAGAGCUAAUACAUGCACCUAAGCUCGGACCCGCGAGGGAAAGAGCGCAGUUAUUAGAUCAAAACCGAUCGGGCCCUCGGGCCCGUACCAACCUUGAUGACUCUGGAUAACCAUUUGCCGAGCGCACGGCCCCCGUGCCGGCGCCGCAACCUUCAAGUGUCUGCCUUAUCAGCUGUCGAUGGUAGGUUAUGCGCCAACCAUGGCUAUUACGGGUAACGGGGAAUCAGGGUUCGAUUCCGGAGAGGGAGCCUGAGAAACGGCUACCACAUCUAAGGAAGGCAGCAGGCACGCAAAUUACCCACUCCCGGCUCGGGGAGGUAGUGACGAAAAAUAACGAUGCGGGACUCUUACGAGGCCCCGCAAUCGGAAUGAGCACAUCUUAAAUCCUUUAACGAGGAUCCAUUGGAGGGCAAGUCUGGUGCCAGCAGCCGCGGUAAUUCCAGCUCCAAUAGCGUAUAUUAAAGUUGCUGCGGUUAAAAAGCUCGUAGUCGAGUGCCGGUGUCGGACCGACGGUGCGCCGCCCGGCGCUACUGUCGGCCUCCCGCGCAGCUCGCCGGCCAGCACGGGGUGCUCUUCACCGAGUGUCCCGGGCGGCCGGCACGUUUACUUUGAAAAAAUUAGAGUGCUCAAAGCAGGCCAUAGUCGCCCGAAUAUCGGUGCAUGGAAUGAUGGAAUAGGACCCCGGUCUUAUUUUGUUGGUUUUGUGAGACCCGAGGUAAUGAUGAAUGGAAACAGUCGGGGGCAUUCGUAUUGCGACGCUAGAGGUGAAAUUCUUGGACCGUCGCACGACGAACAACUGCGAAAGCAUUUGCCAAGUAUGCUUUCAUUGAUCAAGAACGAAAGUCAGAGGUUCGAAGGCGAUCAGAUACCGCCCUAGUUCUGACCGUAAACGAUGUCAACUAGCGAUCCGCCGGUGUCAAUACCAUGACCCGACGGGCAGCUUCCGGGAAACCAAAGUCUUUGGAUUCCGGGGGAAGUAUGGUUGCAAAGCUGAAACUUAAAGGAAUUGACGGAAGGGCACCACCAGGAGUGGAGCCUGCGGCUUAAUUUGACUCAACACGGGGAACCUCACCAGGCCCGGACACCGGAAGGAUUGACAGAUUGAGAGCUCUUUCUCGAUUCGGUGGGUGGUGGUGCAUGGCCGUUCUUAGUU